Molecule: ribosomal RNA, 903 nt
Filed under: Bacillus siamensis
Lineage: Bacteria; Bacillati; Bacillota; Bacilli; Caryophanales; Bacillaceae
Description: bacterial SSU rRNA
Rfam family: Bacterial small subunit ribosomal RNA
Source: RNAcentral
UCGAGCGGACAGAUGGGAGCUUGCUCCCUGAUGUUAGCGGCGGACGGGUGAGUAACACGUGGGUAACCUGCCUGUAAGACUGGGAUAACUCCGGGAAACCGGGGCUAAUACCGGAUGGUUGUUUGAACCGCAUGGUUCAGACAUAAAAGGUGGCUUCGGCUACCACUUACAGAUGGACCCGCGGCGCAUUAGCUAGUUGGUGAGGUAACGGCUCACCAAGGCGACGAUGCGUAGCCGACCUGAGAGGGUGAUCGGCCACACUGGGACUGAGACACGGCCCAGACUCCUACGGGAGGCAGCAGUAGGGAAUCUUCCGCAAUGGACGAAAGUCUGACGGAGCAACGCCGCGUGAGUGAUGAAGGUUUUCGGAUCGUAAAGCUCUGUUGUUAGGGAAGAACAAGUGCCGUUCAAAUAGGGCGGCACCUUGACGGUACCUAACCAGAAAGCCACGGCUAACUACGUGCCAGCAGCCGCGGUAAUACGUAGGUGGCAAGCGUUGUCCGGAAUUAUUGGGCGUAAAGGGCUCGCAGGCGGUUUCUUAAGUCUGAUGUGAAAGCCCCCGGCUCAACCGGGGAGGGUCAUUGGAAACUGGGGAACUUGAGUGCAGAAGAGGAGAGUGGAAUUCCACGUGUAGCGGUGAAAUGCGUAGAGAUGUGGAGGAACACCAGUGGCGAAGGCGACUCUCUGGUCUGUAACUGACGCUGAGGAGCGAAAGCGUGGGGAGCGAACAGGAUUAGAUACCCUGGUAGUCCACGCCGUAAACGAUGAGUGCUAAGUGUUAGGGGGUUUCCGCCCCUUAGUGCUGCAGCUAACGCAUUAAGCACUCCGCCUGGGGAGUACGGUCGCAAGACUGAAACUCAAAGGAAUUGACGGGGGCCCGCACAAGCGGUGGAGCAUGUGGUU